RNAcentral lists this ribosomal RNA (497 nucleotides) under uncultured bacterium. RNAcentral describes it as "partial 16S ribosomal RNA". It matches the Rfam family "Bacterial small subunit ribosomal RNA", at positions 28 to 507 of the family's 1533-position model. The record is from RNAcentral.
GAUGAACGCUGGCGGCGUGCCUAAUACAUGCAAGUCGAGCGAACAGACGAGUAGCUUGCUCCUCUGACGUUAGCGGCGGACGGGUGAGUAACACGUGGAUAACCUACCUAUAAGACUUGGAUAACUUCGGGAAACCGGAGCUAAUACCGGAUAAUAUAUUCAACCGCAUGGUUCAAUAGUGUAAGACGGUUUUGCUGUCACUUAUAGAUGGAUCCGCGCCGCAUUAGCUAGUUGGUAAGGUAACGGCUUACCAAGGCAACGAUGCGUAGCCGACCUGAGAGGGUGAUCGGCCACACUGGAACUGAGACACGGUCCAGACUCCUACGGGAGGCAGCAGUAGGGAAUCUUCCGCAAUGGGCGAAAGCCUGACGGAGCAACGCCGCGUGAGUGAUGAAGGUCUUCGGAUCGUAAAACUCUGUUAUUAGGGAAGAACAAAUGUGUAAGUAACUAUGCACGUCUUGACGGUACCUAAUCAGAAAGCCACGGCUAACUACGUG